RNAcentral lists this ribosomal RNA (253 nucleotides) under uncultured bacterium. Its description in RNAcentral is "partial 16S ribosomal RNA". It matches the Rfam family "Bacterial small subunit ribosomal RNA", at positions 524 to 776 of the family's 1533-position model. The record is from RNAcentral.
UACAGAGGGUGCAAGCGUUGUUCGGAUUUACUGGGCGUAAAGCGUGCGUAGGCGGCAUUGAGAGUCGCAGGUGAAAUCCCCAAGCUUAACUUGGGAACUGCCUGCGAGACCUCAAUGCUAGAGUGUGAGAGGGGAUGGUGGAAUUCCAGGUGUAGCGGUGAAAUGCGUAGAGAUCUGGAGGAACACCGGCGGCGAAGGCGGCCAUCUGGCUCACAACUGACGCUCAGGCACGAAAGCGUGGGUAGCAAACAGG